This 778-nucleotide unclassified non-coding RNA is filed under the name Hevea brasiliensis (rubber tree). The record is from RNAcentral. Lineage: Eukaryota; Viridiplantae; Streptophyta; Magnoliopsida; Malpighiales; Euphorbiaceae.
AAGGAAAGAGCUUAAAAGAUGGAGAGAGUUGAAAAUGUGGAACGAAAGAGAGAAAAAAGAUGAAAGUAGUGUCUUGGAAAAGAAAAAGAAAAAAAAAGUAAUGUCUUGAAAAAGAAAAAAAUUGGUGUCUUGGAAAAGAAAAAUUUUAACUUUUAUCAACUUAAUUAUUAAAAGAAUACAGUGGGGCAUUUUUAAAACGUGAAGUGGGGUCAAUUUUGAAAUUAUGAGCCUACAAUUAGGAGAAGUUGAAGAAGAAGGACAUAUGUAAUCCCUAAUUUAUUUAGAAUUUAUUACUUGUAUGAACUUUUGAGUCCACAGACAUGAAUUCUUCUUGCAGAAUUCAAUCUCUCAGGGAUUUGCAUUCAAAUAGUCUUGAUUUAUAAUUGUUGGGACUAAGAUUCUGGUAGUGAUUGAUAUCGAAAUUUAAAUAAUUUUUUAUUUAUUUUCUUUUUCCAACCACACCUUUAUGAUUUGCCUUUGCAGUUUUUUGAUGUCAAUCAAAGUAUUGCCCCUUUCUUUUGAAUUGCAUAGCAUUCCUGCAAUGUCAGUUUGGUUGUGUUGUGUUCUUGUAGAAUUUUCACUUUGCCAAGUAAAUAGCAAGUUGUCAUUGUCAAAUCAAUUUGGAGAGGCUGAAAAUAUGGUUUUUGGUUAUUCAGGGGCACUUAUUCAUUAAUUUGUUACGACGUUCUGUAAUUUCUUUCCUUCAAAUCCAUCAAGUAUAACUGUGAUGUUUACAACAUGUAAAAUUGUUGUUGCAGUUAUCAGAGCUUGUGAAUGU